RNAcentral lists this ribosomal RNA (503 nucleotides) under uncultured bacterium. Its description in RNAcentral is "bacterial SSU rRNA". It matches the Rfam family "Bacterial small subunit ribosomal RNA", at positions 9 to 527 of the family's 1533-position model. The record is from RNAcentral.
GGCGAGUUUGAUCAUGGCUCAGGACGAACGCUGGCGGCGUGCUUAACACAUGCAAGUCGAACGGUGAACCACUUCGGUGGGGAUCAGUGGCGAACGGGUGAGUAACACGUGGGCAACCUGCCCCUAGCACUGGGAUAACCCCGGGAAACCGGGGCUAAUACCGGAUAUGACCUCGAGCGGCAUCACUUGAGGUGUAAAGGAUUCUGGCUAGGGAUGGGCCCGCGGCCUAUCAGCUUGUUGGUGGGGUAACGGCCUACCAAGGCGACGACGGGUAGCCGGCCUGAGAGGGCGACCGGCCACACUGGGACUGAGACACGGCCCAGACUCCUACGGGAGGCAGCAGUGGGGAAUAUUGCGCAAUGGGCGAAAGCCUGACGCAGCGACGCCGCGUGAGGGACGAAGGCCUUCGGGUCGUAAACCUCUUUCAGCAGGGAAGAAGCGAAAGUGACGGUACCUGCAGAAGAAGCACCGGCUAACUACGUGCCAGCAGCCGCGGUAAUAAG